AUUGAACGCUGGCGGCAGGCCUAACACAUGCAAGUCGAACGGUAACAGGAAGCAGCUUGCUGCUUCGCUGACGAGUGGCGGACGGGUGAGUAAUGUCUGGGAAGCUGCCUGAUGGAGGGGGAUAACUACUGGAAACGGUAGCUACUACCGCAUAAUGUCGCAAGACCAAAGAGGGGGACCUUCGGGCCUCUUGCCAUCGGAUGUGCCCAGAUGGUAUUAGCUUGUUGGUGGGGUAACGGCUCACCAAGGAGACGAUACCCAGCUGGUCUGAGAGGAUGACCAGCCACACUGGGACUGAGACACGGUCCAGACUCCUGCGAGAGGCAGCAGUGGGGAAUAUUGGACAAUGGGCGCGAGCCUGAUGCAGCCAUGCCGCGUGUAUGAAGAAGGCCUUCGGGUUGUAAAGUACUUUCAGCGGGGAGGAAGGGAGUAAAGUUAAUACCUUUGCUCAUUGACGUUACCCGCAGAAGAAGCACCGGCUAACUCCGUG
This 490-nucleotide ribosomal RNA is filed under the name uncultured bacterium. RNAcentral describes it as "partial 16S ribosomal RNA". It matches the Rfam family "Bacterial small subunit ribosomal RNA", at positions 30 to 507 of the family's 1533-position model. The record is from RNAcentral.